GGCUGGUCCGAUGGCAGUGGGUUAUCAGAACUGACUAACAUUAGUGUUACUAAAGUUGGUAUACCACCCCCCCACUGCUAAAUUUGACUGGCUUUCA
Molecule: unclassified non-coding RNA, 97 nt
Organism: Cavia aperea (Brazilian guinea pig)
Lineage: Eukaryota; Metazoa; Chordata; Mammalia; Rodentia; Caviidae
Rfam family: Y RNA
About the family: Y RNAs are components of the Ro ribonucleoprotein particle (Ro RNP), in association with Ro60 and La proteins.
Source: Ensembl